CGGGCAGUGGCGCAGCUUGGUAGCGCGCUUCGUUCGGGACGAAGAGGUCGGGAGUUCAAAUCUCCCCUGCCCGA
This 74-nucleotide transfer RNA is filed under the name Acidimicrobiia bacterium. Its description in RNAcentral is "tRNA-Pro". It matches the Rfam family "tRNA". Rfam says of the family: Transfer RNA (tRNA) molecules are approximately 80 nucleotides in length. Their secondary structure includes four short double-helical elements and three loops (D, anti-codon, and T loops). The record is from RNAcentral. Lineage: Bacteria; Bacillati; Actinomycetota; Acidimicrobiia.